Molecule: small nuclear RNA, 21 nt
Filed under: Arabidopsis thaliana (thale cress)
Lineage: Eukaryota; Viridiplantae; Streptophyta; Magnoliopsida; Brassicales; Brassicaceae
Description: snRNA_02469
Source: RNAcentral
UUCAUGGACUUUUUCUUCACA